GUCCACGCUGUAAACGAUGAAUACUAGGUAUUGGAGGAUUUGACCCCUACAGUGCCGUAGCUAACGCGUUAAGUAUUCCGCCUGGGAAGUACGGUCGCAAGACUAAAACUCAAAGGAAUUGACGGGGGCCCACACAAGCGGUGGAUUAUGUGGUUUAAUUCGAAGCAACGCGCAGAACCUUACCAAGGCUUGAAAUCCCACGAACCUGCUUUAAACGGCGGGGUGCUCUUCGGAGAAUGUGGUGACAGGCGCUGCAUGGCUGUCGU
RNAcentral lists this ribosomal RNA (266 nucleotides) under uncultured bacterium. RNAcentral's name for it is "partial 16S ribosomal RNA". It matches the Rfam family "Bacterial small subunit ribosomal RNA", at positions 793 to 1055 of the family's 1533-position model. The record is from RNAcentral.